This 1088-nucleotide long non-coding RNA is filed under the name Oncorhynchus kisutch (coho salmon). Its description in RNAcentral is "lncRNA (ENSOKIG00005011179.1)". The record is from RNAcentral. Lineage: Eukaryota; Metazoa; Chordata; Actinopteri; Salmoniformes; Salmonidae.
UGCGGUCUCUCCUUCACUGCAGCCGAGGUGAGUAAGACAUUUAAACGUGUUAACCCUCGCAAGGCUGCAGGCCCAGACGGCAUCCCCAGCCGCGCACUCAGAGCAUGCGCAGACCAGCUGGCCGGUGUGUUUACGGACAUAUUCAAUCAAUCCCUAUACCAGUCUGCUGUUCCCACAUGCUUCAAGAGGGCCACCAUUGUUCCUGUUCCCAAGAAAGCUAAGGUAACUGAGCUAAACGACUACCGCCCCGUAGCACUCACAUCCGUCAUCAUGAAGUGCUUUGAGAGACUAGUCAAGGACCAUAUCACCUCCACCCUACCUGACACCCUAGACCCACUCCAAUUUGCUUACCGCCCAAAUAGGUCCACAGACGAUGCAAUCUCAACCACACUGCACACUGCCCUAACCCAUCUGGACAAGAGGAAUACCUAUGUGAGAAUGCUGUUCAUCGACUACAGCUCGGCAUUCAACACCAUAGUACCCUCCAAGCUCGUCAUCAAGCUCGAGACCCUGGGUCUCGACCCCGCCCUGUGCAACUGGGUACUGGACUUCCUGACGGGCCACCCCCAGGUGGUGAGGGUAGGCAACAACAUCUCCUCCCCGCUGAUCCUCAACACUGGGGCCCCACAAGGGUGCGUUCUGAGCCCUCUCCUGUACUCCCUGUUCACCCACGACUGCGUGGCCACGCACGCCUCCAACUCAAUCAUCAAGUUUGCGGACGACACAACAGUGGUAGGCUUGAUUACCAACAACGACGAGACGGCCUACAGGGAGGAGGUGAGGGCCCUCGGAGUGUGGUGUCAGGAAAAUAACCUCACACUCAACGUCAACAAAACUAAGGAGAUGAUUGUGGACUUCAGGAAACAGCAGAGGGAACACCCCCCUAUCCACAUCGAUGGAACAGUAGUGGAGAGGGUAGCAAGUUUUAAGUUCCUCGGCAUACACAUCACAGACAAACUGAAUUGGUCCACUCACACAGCCUCUUCAACCUCAGGAGGCUGAAGAAAUUCAGCUUGUCACCAAAAGCACUCACAAACUUCUACAGAUGCACAAUCGAGAGCAUCCUGGCGGGCUGUAUCACCGCCUGG